ACGGCCUUGUCGUAGUAAGCCGUCGCAUAGACCUGAGAUAAGGCCACCAUUGGCACCGUUUCAAUUCUUGACAGNUGUCGGAGUAAGCCGUCGCAUAGACCUGUGAUAAGGCCACCAUUGGCACCGUUUCAAUUCUUGACAGUGCAGGAGCAAGCUGGGAGUACUUGAGGCAUUCUAUGACUGGCGACAUGUAGGAAUCAUACGCCAGUGGGUUCAGAUCAAUGACUAGGCAUUGUUGGGGUCGGAUGGGAAGAAUCUGAGAGGUUGCAUGAACAGAAGAAGAUUCAGCCAUUGUUGCAGGUUUGGAGAAGAAGAUGAACGGGAGAGUGUUUGGGAGUAUUUUUGCUUUGGGAAUUAUGGAGGCAGUAAAGAGGUAAAAGAUGGUGUAGACGGCCUUUUAUAGUGGGUGAUAGGAGAGAGAAAAAUCGUUUCAAAUCUCUUAUGGAAAUACGAAACGGGUUUUUGAGUGACUGAUUGGUGACGGUUGGGGCGUGCGAUGAUCACGUAGGAGAGAGAGUGUCAGUUUCCUAGGAUUACGCCGCCCAAUAAGCGCCGGUUCAGAGAGAGGAACCGUUUCCAUUUCCACACGCGCCUGUAAAGCCAGAGUGAUGACGCUUCGAUAUUGCACACGCGUCCUUAAGUGUCAGAAAAAGCGCGGCCGUUUCAAAUUCACGCGCCCUCCUUUUUACCGUCGUUUGAAUUUCUAUCCUUUUAACUCCCGCCGAGUCAGCAACUUUUUGUCUUAUCCCCUUUUAAACGGCUGUUUUCAAUUAAUGACCCACGUGGCUAAUUUUUGACCACAACUUCAUUAGUAACCAUCCAGUAAUAAUCCAGCCUGUAAAAUAAUUAGUAACGGAGUUUUUGAAAAUCUAGGAUUUUCGUGCAAAGAGUGUAAAAGAAAAAGAAAUAAAGCAACUCUUUUUAGGAUAAUCUGUGAUGUCAAUAAUGACACGAAACUGAUGAUCCCGGGCACGAAUCUCUUCCUUCAAGGUCAAGAGAGACCUCAAAGUGUUAGUGUGGAAUCCCGUUGAAUUACGAUCAAACAUUUAUUAAUAAAUGUUGAAAGGCUUCUUUUAAUUAGGCUAAUUAAGGGUGGUUUCGCUUUGAUUCAACAAUUCAAUUCUUGAUAUAAGAACGAAAGUGAACAAAGUACUUGUGAGACCGGUGUAGUCUGUUGAACAAGUAGGUUGGAGUUGAUUUUGUAGUGACUUGGAUUAAUAUGAAAUCUCAGAUAAAAAUUUAAAACUGGAUCCCUUGGGAAGAAAUGUUAUGGUGUGUAACAAUUUCAUUGGAAUCACGCAAAAAGAAAAAUUGAGAUUCCAUGAAGGUACAUUCGUCAAUUCAUUGGUGAAAACUUGAUCAAAUUAAUUGGUCACCGUCAAUUCGUUGGUGUUGAAUUUUGGGUUUCACUCAGCUCGUAGUGGCACGAAACUAAGAUCAUAAACACAGAUGUUGUGUAACCAUAAACCUCAGUGGUAGUUUCUGAGAGUCUCAAGGGUUACAGUGAUGAAACGAAUGUAAUGGAGAAGUGUAAUGGGGAUGGUGAAAGAAAACAUAGUACCUCUGCUGCGAAAAUAAGGACCAAGCAGGAAACUCUUAACUCAUG
RNAcentral lists this long non-coding RNA (1606 nucleotides) under Lactuca sativa (garden lettuce). Its description in RNAcentral is "long non-coding RNA (LSAT_LNC001160)". Lineage: Eukaryota; Viridiplantae; Streptophyta; Magnoliopsida; Asterales; Asteraceae. The record is from RNAcentral.